RNAcentral lists this ribosomal RNA (497 nucleotides) under uncultured bacterium. RNAcentral describes it as "partial 16S ribosomal RNA". It matches the Rfam family "Bacterial small subunit ribosomal RNA", at positions 28 to 507 of the family's 1533-position model. The record is from RNAcentral.
GAUGAACGCUGGCGGCGUGCCUAAUACAUGCAAGUCGAGCGAACAGACGAGGAGCUUGCUCCUCUGACGUUAGCGGCGGACGGGUGAGUAACACGUGGAUAACCUACCUAUAAGACUGGGAUAACUUCGGGAAACCGGAGCUAAUACCGGAUAAUAUAUUGAACCGCAUGGUUCAAUAGUGAAAGACGGUUUUGCUGUCACUUAUAGAUGGUUCCGCGCCGCAUUAGCUAGUUGGUAAGGUAAAGGCUUACCAAGGCAACGAUGCGUAGCCGACCUGAGAGGGUGAUCGGCCACACUGGAACUGAGACACGGUCCAGACUCCUACGGGAGGCAGCAGUAGGGAAUCUUCCGCAAUGGGCGAAAGCCUGACGGAGCAACGCCGCGUGAGUGAUGAAGGUCUUCGGAUCGUAAAACUCUGUUAUUAGGGAAGAACAAAUGUGUAAGUAACUAUGCACGUCUUGACGGUACCUAAUCAGAAAGCCACGGCUAACUACGUG